Non-coding RNA from Trichonephila clavata, 74 nucleotides. NCBI's taxonomy places the organism in Eukaryota, Metazoa, Arthropoda, Arachnida, Araneae, Nephilidae. The record is from the annotation of a GenBank genome assembly.
GCCCCUAUAGCACAAUGGAUAGCGCGUUGGACUUCUAAUCCAAAAAGUUGUGGGUUCGAAUCCCAAUUGGGAUG